Molecule: ribosomal RNA, 497 nt
Filed under: uncultured bacterium
Lineage: Bacteria
Description: partial 16S ribosomal RNA
Rfam family: Bacterial small subunit ribosomal RNA
Source: RNAcentral
GAUGAACGCUGGCGGCGUGCCUAAUACAUGCAAGUCGAGCGAACAGACGUGGUACUUGCUCCUCCGAGGUUAGCGGCGGACGGGUGAGUAACACGUGGAGAACCUACCUAUAAGAGUGGGACAACUUCGGGAAACGGGUGCUAAUACCGGAUAAUAUCUUGAACCGCAUGGUUCAAGAGUGAAAGACGCGUUUGCUGUCACUUAUGGAUGGAUCCCGGUCGAUUUAGCUGUUUGGGAAGGUAACGGCUUACCAGGGCAACGAUGCGAAGCCGACCGGAGGGGUGGUCGGGCCACAUGGGAACGGGACCACGGUCCAGACUCCUCCGGGAGGCGCCAGUAGGGAAUCUUCGGCAAUGGGGGAAAGCCUGACGGAGCAACGCGGCGUGGGUGAUGAAGUUCUUCGGUUCGUAAACCUCUGUUAUUGGGGAAAAACAAAUUUGUAAGUAACUGUGCACGUCUUGACGGUACCUAAUCAGAAAGCCACGGCUAACUACGUG